GAUGAAGAACGUAGCGAAAUGCGAUAAGUAAUGUGAAUUGCAGAAUUCAGUGAAUCAUCGAAUCUUUGAACGCACCUUGCGCUCCUUGGUAUUCCGAGGAGCAUGCCUGUUUGAGUGUCAUUAAAUUCUCAACCUUAUUGGCCUUUGCUGAUAAUGGCUUGGACUUGGGGGUCUUUUUGCUGGCUUUCAUUAGUCUGCUCCCCUUAAAUGUAUUAGCCGGUGCCCCGCAGUGGAACCGUCUAUUGGUGUGAUAAUUAUCUACGCCAUGGACGUCUGCUAUAAUGGGUUUGCGCUGCUUCUAACCGUCUCUCGGGACAACACAAAUGACAAUUUGACCUCAAAUCAGGUAGGACUACCCGCUGAACUUAAGCAUAUCAAUAAGCGGAGGA
Molecule: unclassified non-coding RNA, 389 nt
Filed under: soil metagenome
Description: partial contains 5.8S ribosomal RNA, internal transcribed spacer 2, and large subunit ribosomal RNA
Rfam family: 5.8S ribosomal RNA (bases 1-120)
Source: RNAcentral